Acyrthosiphon pisum (pea aphid) is the source of this 3868-nucleotide long non-coding RNA. RefSeq lists it as uncharacterized. The transcript is spliced from 4 exons. The record is from RefSeq and is a predicted model, not a curated record. Lineage: Eukaryota; Metazoa; Arthropoda; Insecta; Hemiptera; Aphididae.
CAUUGAAAAUACUGUUAUAAAUAAUUUGAAGCACCAAGGGGGUCAAGUAGAAAAAUUAAACUUAUAUUCAAACAGUCAUUCAACAGAUGUUGUGCCAGUGUUCUUAUUACCAAGGAUUUGGAACAUUAUUCUUCUUUACCAAGCUACAUAACUAAUGCUAAUGAAGAGGAGGUUGAACCACCAUUUUUGCACCACCUAUAGAAUGUGUAAAUGAAGAAGUAAAAUCAAUAGCACCAUAUUCUUUGCCGGUAUUAAUUGAUGCUGUGUGUUCGACCUCCAAUGAUGUUUAUGUAUUGAGCACAUAAUAUGAAUGUCGAUUCAAAAGUACAAAAUGUUAUAAUGCUGAAGUACAGCCGUUAACAAAAAAAAUUAGGAAUGUACAAGGUAUGUAAAAUGUUCUUACUAAAAUUAAUAUUAACUUGUGAUUUAAAUCCAAUAUUACAAUCAAAUACCUAGGUACUGUAAAUUAACAAUUUUUCAGAUCAUAUAGAUAAGUUUUCUACAUCUAAUACUAAAAUGUCAUUAGAUGAUUUUUCAACUAAAUAUUAUUAUUUGGAAUAUUUUGAUCAAUAAUGUUCUACAUUUUCAGACCAGUAGCUUAUUAAAAAUAACUUAUAAAUAUUUAAAGCUUAGAUGAGCGGAGUAGUGGAACAACAUUGUACGGAGUAUCCCAGUACCACUUCCAUUCACCUAAGAUUUGAAUACUUAUCAGUAAUAAGUUAUCAAUCAUAAAAUACUCGUAAAAAAUUCAAUCUAAGUUCUGCUUUAAAAUAUAGAACUAAUAAUGUACCCAUGUUGUCAUUAAUAAAGUAAACAUUAAAAAAUGAUAAUGAUAAAAAAAAAAAAUAAAUAUCCAAUACUUAUACUUUUUUUAGAAAUCUUGAUUAACUAUCCACCCUUAACUGACAGAACACAUUUGAAUAUCUUCUGAACUAUCUUCAAAAUAACCUAUAUAUUUUUUAUAGACAAAUCCAAACAUUCCAAAAUAUUUUUCAAUAUUAUCAAUUUUUUCUAAAAGAUUUUCCAACUCAUUCUUUGUUCUAAUAGGCUUAUUAUAUUUGUAUUUUUUUCCAUAUAUUUGUAUAACUGGCACAAGGCUAUUAUAAAAAUACAUUUUUUUCACGGUUUCUUCAAAAAACAUUUUUUUUACUAAAAGCUGUUGAACUUUGUGCCCGAAGCUCUGAAAUAUUAUAAAAUAAACUAGGAAGUUGAAUUUUUUUAGAAAUUUCAAAAAUAAAUCCGCUAACUUCCUUAGAAUAUUUAUCCUGCAUUUUUAAUUUUGAAGUUACUUCCUGUUGUACUGUAACGAUCUUAACUGUGAUAUAGCUUCCAUAUUAUACACAGAAUUGUAAAAACUAUUUGCAGAGAUAUUUUAAGUUUUUAGUAGUAACGAAUUACUAACAAAAAAAUCAUCAAUGGAAGUGAAAGUAUCAUGUGUAGAACAUGUAUCUGUAUUAUAUGAAAGAUUAUUGGUUUAUAGUAAUUGAUUAUAAUAUUGGAUUUAAAUCACAAGUAAAAAUUUGUCUUAGUAAGAAAAUUUUACAUUGUAACGUAAUACAUUGUUAAUUCUCUUUAUUGACGACUGUUCAACAGCUUUAUUUUAUUUUGUGCUUUUGAAUCAACUUUCAUAAUAUGUGCUCAAUACAGGAAUAUCAUUAGGUGCUGACCGCACAGUAUUAGUACCAAUUAAUGCUGUGUGGUCGUCAACAAAAUUGAACCAAUUGAGAGGUCUUCUGUCCAACUCAAGUUGUUCUAAGUAUUAUAUGGAAACUAUAUCACAGCGAAGACCGUAACGGUAUAACAGGAAGCAACAUCAACUUUAAAUGCAGGACAAAUUGACAUCUAAUUCAGUUAUUCGACCAGAAUUCAUCGACAAUAAAAUUUAUAUCUUCUACAAAUAAAUAAAGAUCAUAUGAAUUCUCAGAAAUAAAGAGUCCAAUAAUUACAAAAUAUAUAUCAUUAGAAUGAAAGACAAAUACCCUUAAUUUCAAUUCAGAUAAUAGUACAAAUAAAUACUUCACCAUAUAAGAUAAUUUAUGAUGGUAAUACUAAAGAAUUUAAAAAGGAAGUUAACGGAUUUAAAAUAAAUAUGAAUUAUAAUUAUAAUUAUAAAUAUGAAAUUUCUAAAACUUUUGUAAUUCCUAGUUUAUUUUGUAGUGCUUCAAAGUUUCGGGCACAAAAUGCAACAGCUUUUAGUAAAAAAAUUUUUUUUUGAAGAAACCGUGAAAAAAAUUCAUUUUUAUAACGGCCUUGUUUUGGUUAUACAAAAAUAUGGAAAAAAAUACAAAUAUAAUAAGCCUAUUAGAACAAAGAAUGAGUUGGAAAAUCUUUUAGAAAAAAUUGAUAAUAUUGAAAAAUAUUCUGGAAUGUUUGGAUUUGUCUAUAAAAAAUGUAUAGGUUAUUUUGAAGAUAGUUCAGAAUAUAUUUAUGCCUUCAUUACCUGGGUGUCAUCAUGAACCAGAGGUUUACGUUAACCAAACAUAUGGAAAUAGUCGCCAAAAAACUCUUCCGCUGCGCCGCCGCACUGACUAGGCUCAUGCUAACGUUAGAGGUCCAUGCCAGUGGAAACGAAGACUGUACCUGUUUGGAUUAAUCAUGUGGUGGCCUCAGGCAGGACAAUGGUCAAAUUGAUAUGACCGCAGAUGACAGCAACGCUCAGGGUCAUCUCAGCGUAUCGUUCAGUUUCCGAUGAGGCUUUGCUGUUUCUGAUACCUUCGGCCGACCUCCUAGGUGGAUCCUUGUGGAUUAGGGCUUGCCUGUGCGCUCUUAUCCUUCCCAGAGAUCCAGCCGAUCUGCCCAAGUAUGCUAUUAGAAGAGAGGAACGCAAAACAACGAUUGUUUAAAUGUACAAAGACAGCACGGUUACCGGACGUCAUUCCUGACGUAGGAUGUGGAUAGUGAGAUCGAUACCGAAGGUGGAACUGACAUCACAUUACCCAGGCACUGGAGGGGUAUGGCUGCUUCCAGCACUACCUGCACCGCAUGGAGUGCAAGGAACAAUCACUAUGAGAGCAAUGCCAAUACUUCAGAACACAUAUUGUUUGAAUGCGAGUACUAGAGCAAUAUAAGGGAGGGGAUAGGCGCGCACCUCAAGCCGCUUACUGACCUCUGAGUCUUACCCUCCACUACAACUGUGUACCCUUGCAUUAGAGGGUCUACACUCUGACUCGAAAGAAAAGAUGACAGUCCUCAGGACGCUGAAGAAUUUCCGGGUGUUCUACGUGAUUUUGGAAAACAUCCUGACUGCGAAGAAUGGCAGAGCAGACGGCCGAAGGUUAUACAGUUAUAUAGUCUGCCAACCCCCGUCCCAACAAGGUGUACGAGUUAAUAAGAGGGGUGUACUUAGGCCGGCUCUCAAAAAGGAGAGUCAGAAUGAAAUGUCAAGGACAGAGGAUAUUUGAACAACAGUUCAUUGAAAGUAAAUAUUAUGCAAUAUCCAUAUUUCGUCAUCUAAAUCAAGAAUAAGUUCAUCCCAUUUUCAACAACUGGAAGUCUGCUCCAUAUUCUGGGUUUAAAUAUAUCGAUCAAAAUGAGUGCUUUAACCAAUUAUUUUGACUGUAAGCAAAAUACUAUGUAUUUAUGUACAAACCACAUUUAAUGUCACAUAUUCCAGACAACCAUAAUAUACCUAUUAUUUUCACAAUAAUAUAUGAUUAUUUACUAGAAACUUAUGUAGGUGCACGAAAAUUAAAAAUUUAUUGAAAAAUACGAACGGGUGUUCGUAAAAAAAAAAAUUAUUGAAAAUUUCCAGAUGGACAAAAUAAAUACAGUGCCAAUUUAGUUAUUCCAAACACUGUAAAAAAUAAAUUCACUUUAUUAAAAUAUAUACUACCUAGCUUACCUAUUAGUUAAAUACUAUUUAUUUAUG